Molecule: transfer RNA, 74 nt
Filed under: Acidobacteriota bacterium
Lineage: Bacteria; Pseudomonadati; Acidobacteriota
Also listed under: 1 other name
Description: Acidobacteria bacterium (activated sludge metagenome) tRNA-Pro
Rfam family: tRNA
About the family: Transfer RNA (tRNA) molecules are approximately 80 nucleotides in length. Their secondary structure includes four short double-helical elements and three loops (D, anti-codon, and T loops). Further hydrogen bonds mediate the characteristic L-shaped molecular structure. tRNAs have two regions of fundamental functional importance: the anti-codon, which is responsible for specific mRNA codon recognition, and the 3' end, to which the tRNAs corresponding amino acid is attached (by aminoacyl-tRNA synthetases). tRNAs cope with the degeneracy of the genetic code in two manners: having more than one tRNA (with a specific anti-codon) for a particular amino acid; and 'wobble' base-pairing, i.e. permitting non-standard base-pairing at the 3rd anti-codon position.
Source: RNAcentral
CGGGAUGUGGCUCAGACUGGUAGAGCGCACGGUUCGGGGCCGUGAGGUCAAAGGUUCAAAUCCUUUCAUCUCGA